CAGUAGCCGCGGUAAGACAGAGGAUGCAAGCGUUAUCCGGAAUGAUUGGGCGUAAAGCGUCUGUAGGUGGCUUUUCAAGUCCGCCGUCAAAUCCCCGGGCUCAACCCUGGACAGGCAGUGGAAACUACCAAGCUGGAGUACGGUAGGGGCAGAGGGAAUUUCCGGUGGAGCGAUGAAAUGCGUUGAGAUCAGAAAGAACACCAACGGCGAAAGCACUCUGCUGGGCCGACACUGACACUGAGAGACGAAAGCUAGGGGAGCAAAUGGGAUUAGAUACCCCCGUAGUCCCUGUCUCUUAUAC
RNAcentral lists this ribosomal RNA (301 nucleotides) under uncultured bacterium. RNAcentral's name for it is "partial 16S ribosomal RNA". It matches the Rfam family "Bacterial small subunit ribosomal RNA", at positions 509 to 807 of the family's 1533-position model. The record is from RNAcentral.